This 497-nucleotide ribosomal RNA is filed under the name uncultured bacterium. RNAcentral describes it as "partial 16S ribosomal RNA". It matches the Rfam family "Bacterial small subunit ribosomal RNA", at positions 28 to 507 of the family's 1533-position model. The record is from RNAcentral.
GAUGAACGCUGGCGGCGUGCCUAAUACAUGCCAGUCGAGCGAACAGAUGAGGAGCUUGCUCCUCUGACGUUAGCGGCGGACGGGUGAGUAACACGUGGAUAACCUACCUAUAAGACUGGGAUAACUUCGGGAAACCGGAGCUAAUACCGGAUAAUAUAUUGAACCGCAUGGUUCAAUAGUGAAAGACGGUUUUGCUGUCACUUAUAGAUGGAUCCGCGCCGCAUUAGCUAGUUGGUAAGGUAACGGCUUACCAAGGCAACGAUGCGUAGCCGACCUGAGAGGGUGAUCGGCCACACUGGAACUGAGACACGGUCCAGACUCCUACGGGAGGCAGCAGUAGGGAAUCUUCCGCAAUGGGCGAAAGCCUGACGGAGCAACGUCGCGUGAGUGAUGAAGGUCUUCGGAUCGUAAAACUCUGUUAUUAGGGAAGAACAAAUGUGUAAGUAACUAUGCACGUCUUGACGGUACCUAAUCAGAAAGCCACGGCUAACUACGUG